This 253-nucleotide ribosomal RNA is filed under the name uncultured bacterium. RNAcentral describes it as "partial 16S ribosomal RNA". It matches the Rfam family "Bacterial small subunit ribosomal RNA", at positions 524 to 776 of the family's 1533-position model. The record is from RNAcentral.
UACGUAGGGUGCAAGCGUUACUCGGAAUUACUGGGCGUAAAGCGUGCGCAGGCGGCUUUGUAAGUCUGUUGUGAAAGCCCCGGGCUUAACCUGGGAAUUGCGAUGGAGACUGCAAGGCUUGAAUCUGGCAGAGGGGGGUAGAAUUCCACGUGUAGCAGUGAAAUGCGUAGAGAUGUGGAGGAACACCGAUGGCGAAGGCAGCCCCCUGGGUCAAGAUUGACGCUCAUGCACGAAAGCGUGGGGAGCAAACAGG